This 72-nucleotide transfer RNA is filed under the name Lachnospiraceae bacterium. Its description in RNAcentral is "tRNA-Glu". It matches the Rfam family "tRNA". From Rfam's summary of the family: Transfer RNA (tRNA) molecules are approximately 80 nucleotides in length. Their secondary structure includes four short double-helical elements and three loops (D, anti-codon, and T loops). Further hydrogen bonds mediate the characteristic L-shaped molecular structure. tRNAs have two regions of fundamental functional importance: the anti-codon, which is responsible for specific mRNA codon recognition, and the 3' end, to which the tRNAs corresponding amino acid is attached (by aminoacyl-tRNA synthetases). tRNAs cope with the degeneracy of the genetic code in two manners: having more than one tRNA (with a specific anti-codon) for a particular amino acid; and 'wobble' base-pairing, i.e. permitting non-standard base-pairing at the 3rd anti-codon position. Lineage: Bacteria; Bacillati; Bacillota; Clostridia; Lachnospirales; Lachnospiraceae. The record is from RNAcentral.
GGCUCCAUGGUCAAGAGGUCAAGACAUCGCCCUUUCACGGCGGUAACCCGGGUUCGAUUCCCGGUGGAGUCA